UGGGGGAGUAUUGCACAAUGGGGCGAAAGCCUGAUGCAGCAAUGCCGCGUGAGGGAAGAAGGUUUUCGGAUUGUAAACCUCUGUCCCUGAUGACGAAGUAAGUGACGGUAAUCAGGGAGGAAGCCACGGCUAACUACGUGCCAGCAGCCGCGGUAAUACGUAGGUGGCAAGCGUUGUCCGGAAUUACUGGGUGUAAAGGGAGCGCAGGCGGGAGAGCAAGUCAGCGGUGAAAACUAUGGGCUCAACCCAUAGACUGCCGUUGAAACUGUUUUUCUUGAGUGAAGUAGAGGCAGGCGGAAUUCCGAGUGUAGCGGUGAAAUGCGUAGAUAUUCGGAGGAACACCAGUGGCGAAGGCGGCCUGCUGGGCUUUUACUGACGCUGAGGCUCGAAAGUGUGGGGAGCAAACAGGAUUAGAUACCCUGGUAGU
Molecule: ribosomal RNA, 427 nt
Filed under: uncultured Clostridium sp.
Lineage: Bacteria; Bacillati; Bacillota; Clostridia; Eubacteriales; Clostridiaceae
Description: bacterial SSU rRNA
Rfam family: Bacterial small subunit ribosomal RNA
Source: RNAcentral